Non-coding RNA from Bubalus bubalis (water buffalo), 72 nucleotides. The record is from the annotation of a RefSeq genome assembly. Lineage: Eukaryota; Metazoa; Chordata; Mammalia; Artiodactyla; Bovidae.
UCCCUGAUAGCUCAGAUGGUAAAGCAUCUGCCUGCCAUGAGGAAGACCCGGGUUCAAUCCCCGGUUUGGGAA